CCCUUAGAUGUUCUGGGCUGCACGCGUGCUACAAUGGCGUUUCCAGCAAGUCUGCGAACCCGAGAGGGCCAGCGGAUCUUCGAAUUGGCGUCGUGAUCGGGACAGUCGAUUGCAAUUAUUUGACUCAAACGAGGAAUUCCUUGUAAUCGCGAUUCAUCAUAUCGCGCUGAAUACGUCCCUGCUCUUUGUACACACCGCCCGUCGCUCCUACCGAUUGAGCGAUCCGGUAAAUGUUUUGGAUUGGUGCCGGGGCGGCUAGCUGCCGGUCGCUACGAAAUUUUGUGAACCUUAUCGCUUAGAGGAAGGAAAAGUCGUAACA
This 319-nucleotide ribosomal RNA is filed under the name uncultured eukaryote. RNAcentral describes it as "partial 18S ribosomal RNA". It matches the Rfam family "Eukaryotic small subunit ribosomal RNA", at positions 1470 to 1796 of the family's 1831-position model. The record is from RNAcentral.